This is a long non-coding RNA of Octopus bimaculoides (California two-spot octopus), 327 nucleotides long. The record is from RefSeq and is a predicted model, not a curated record. NCBI's taxonomy places the organism in Eukaryota, Metazoa, Mollusca, Cephalopoda, Octopoda, Octopodidae.
UUAUUAAUUUUUUUUACGGAAUCCCACGUUUUAGGCUAUGGAGAUUCCGAUUCUGAAAAAAAAAUUUUUGAAAAAUUUCAAUUCCCCUCCCCCCACCAAGCAGGCUAUUUACAUGCUAGAAAUAACAGCCAAAUCUCACAAAACUAGUGUUAGGGUUAGGUUUAGGGUUAGGGUUAGGGUUUGAGUUAGGGUUAGGUUUACCCUGUGGAUCUAUAUAAAAACCGGGGGGGGGGGAUCGAAAUUUUGAAAUUGAGAUUUUUGAAAAUUUUUUUCCAGAAUCGGAUUCUCCAUGGUCUGAAACAUAGGAUUCCGUAAAAAAAAACAAAA